This 406-nucleotide long non-coding RNA is filed under the name Eucalyptus grandis. Its description in RNAcentral is "long non-coding RNA (EGRA_LNC001226)". Lineage: Eukaryota; Viridiplantae; Streptophyta; Magnoliopsida; Myrtales; Myrtaceae. The record is from RNAcentral.
UUUAAUAUAUGCUCAAAGCACGCACAACACUAUAAGAAAGUGAAGAUAACGGAUGAGUUUACAAUAUAGUUAGACCUCCCACUGAUCACGUGCAACCUACAACAACCAAUCAAAGUCCUGUCACAUCUUUGCUACAUUAUUUAUUAUCCAUGAAAUUAACAAACAUCCAAUAGAAUCCUCUCUUUUCUCUUCGUUGAAGGUCAACUUCAAUCGUUUUUGACAAGAGGCCUAAAAUGAUUUGCUGGAAGUGAUUAUCACCUUUGGGGAAUCAAUCCACUUGAACCAUCUGAGGCGUUUCUGUUAGGUCUCGAAAUGGGAUGAUGCUGGAAAGAAUUUGAAGAAAUUGCAAUUUCCUUGCUACAAUAUUAAGAGGAAAGAACAUUGUCAGUACACUCAGUAUUUCCAC